GUGUCACACCACAGUGGAGCGGCACAAAUGGACGGACCCUGGAGAGAGCUUAUAAUAUGCAGCAACAGAAGGAUUGGAAGGUGGAGGUUUCUGGAUUUCGUUUCCCCACGAUGAAGCCAGUAAAACCAGCUUUACGUGUAAGGAUACGUCUGCUUAGAGGGUUUUCAUUUCUGUGCUGAAAUAUUUUGAUUAAACAAUGCAAAACUAGCUGUGGCAGGCCUCUGGAGCUCAGAUGCAUGCUUGCUUUUGGCAUGUGUGCUCAGAUGAGAGUCACACCUACAGUCUCUCAAGAUAUAAGAGAAGUGAGGCCACUGUUUUGAGGUCUGAUGUGUCCUGCAGUUUUUGUUCAGAGCUAGUUGAGAUGUUACUGACAGUAAGGCUGCAGGAAAUAGAUUCCACAAAUACUUGAUCACUUUUUUUUUAAAGAAGAAAUAUACCUGGUUCUGUAGCUCAGUAUUUUACCUGCUAUUUUCUCCUGUAGAAUUGUGCAGGCAAUUUGGAUGGGAUACUGUAAAUAUGAAGCACUAAUGCAGAAUGUGGCAGGUGCUUUGUCUCUGCAUUUCCUUUACCUGUAGGAUUCUUUCCUGGGGCUGCUUGCAGAUGAAGAAGGACCACGAGGGCCAGGAAGGGUGUAGGGGUCUCAUGUCUGAUUAUGUGGACCUGCAUGUUUCCAUCUCCCUACAUUACAAAAGGGGAAGGAUUUGGACGCUCAGUGAAUGAAGGGGGCACUUACAGAAAUAUUUCCGUUACUUUGAAUGAACUUUAAAACGUUGCUUGGUAAAGAGCUUCACAGAUAAAUUCUCAUUUAGCUGAUUGUAUUUAAACUAUUUCUAACUUUCUAGGGCAUAGCUGUAAAAAAAAAAACAAACAAAAAAAAACCAUAAAUCUUUAACUUACUAUUUUUACAGUUGUAAUUUUGGUCCUUGUAAAACACUACUAGACUUUGAAAGCAAAAACACUGACCUCUGCCUUAGUGUCUCAUUACUUUCCUGGUCUUGACAUAAUCGUAUUUUCCUUGUGUUCAUUUUCGUAUCCUCUAGAGGGAGAAGUAAGUUGCUCACACGAUGUUAGAAACUCUGCUAAGGCUCCAUGAAGAGUGCUAAUGACAUUUCUACAAAUGUUGGUGGAUCUGUACAUGGCACCUAGAUUUUUUGUUCUCCUAGAUUUCUAGUUCCUGGGUAAAGUUUUAUGCUUACAAAGGUGGUAGGGACAUAAUUUGUCCGGGGCCAGGCAUGGCUACAGCUGUGGUAUUAAUGAUGGCUUUGGGAUGGGAUUUUAGACAGUACAUGACAAACAUGCAGGAGACUUUUUUUCUUCCUGUAUGUAUGAAAACCCAUGGUGAAAAUCUAAAAAAUUGUGAGGAUGCCACUCCGCAGCUGUCCAAAUUCAUAGGCAUAAUCUACAUUCUUUUGUGUAAUGCAAUAGAUAGCAACUGCUUUGCCAUAAGCACUAGCUCUAAAUGCAGUUUAAGUAGUUGACAGUUGCUCUUUUUUCUCCUCCUAUGGGUUGUUUAUUUUCAAAGAACUGAAAGAAGAAAAAGCUUGGCCCUUCUUCCUGACGUGCAACAAUCUGCUUCUGAUCUCUGCAGCCUGUGUGGACCUGUAAGCUCUCCUAAGCAAGAAUGUGAAAGCUAGACCUAGCCUACAGCAUUGGAUUUAAGACACUCUCUCUCUCAUCUAGCCCAGAGAUCCAUGUCUGCUUUGGAGGUUGCAGAGGCCACGAGGCUGGGAUUGUUGAGCAGCAAUGGCAGUUGGCAGCGUUGCUUGGUGUUUGGUUUUGGUUGUGUUUUGUGUUUUUGUUUUGGCUUUUUUUUUUUUUUUUUAAGAUGUGUUUAUAUUGGGUUGUUACACAGCCAGAUGACAGAUGGACUGUGACCCUUCUCUUGGCAUUAGUGCUGGGCUAAGGGAGUGGUGGAAAUAUGAAGACAGAAAGCUUGGUCCAUGGCUAGCUUCUGGAAGGUCUGCGGGAUGCCUAGAGACAGAGGGUUUUCUUAGCAUUCCUUUUCUUCAGCCUUGCUUUCACCCCAUUACCUAAUCUGAGCCCUGACCCUGGAAGCUUGACGUGAACCCCAUGCUCCAGGUAGGGAGAUGCUGCAGAUCUGUUACCAGCAUUUUGGCUAGGGAUCUUGACAGCCAAGUCUGAAAAUAUUUAAUUUCUUCAAGGAUUCUUCAACAUGCAGGUUGGUGUUUGUAGGGUACAUGAGUUAAAGUCAUCAUAUUAGUAAGGUUGCUGUUAGCCUAUAAAUGGUCAAAGCAGGAGAGGGUGGGCUGGGUAAACAGGCUUCUCACUAGAUCUGGUAAGGAUUGAGUGUUGAGGUGAGGUCAGAUGUGUUGAGACUUUUGGGGUAAGGUUUGCUCAGGUGGUAAGCAUACCAGUUGUGGUCUGCAUGGCACCAAUAAUGGGUGGAAUACUCAGAUCUUGGAGAGCUGUGAGUUGGCAGGAAUAGAUGAAGGCUGAUGCUGACUGAAAAUGGGUAGCAGAGGGUUUGCUGAUACUGUUGAAAAGACAAAUUUGGCCUAAUUUGUGUGUUUAGGAUAAGAUGUUGCUUUUGAUGCUCUUAUACUUCUGGUUAGAAUAGAAACUUGAGGAGCUGUUUGUCCUCCGUCCUCAUCAGGCUUCUCAUUCUGCAGUCCCCUGAUGUGUGUGAGCUUGCAGAGUACAAGUUUGCACAUGUUGUGGAGCGUUGUGUCUCUUUGGGCUACAAAUUAGCCUUUGUGUGAGACUUGAGAGCUACUACUGUGGAUGGUAGACCUCAGGUCUGUCAAAAAUUUGGGCUCUCAAGGAAAUGUAAGGAGGCUAUAUCAUAUUGCAUGAAACAUACUUUAUAUAACUUGUUUUGCUGUAAUAGUGGUGAAUAUGAGAAACAGUUCUUCCUUGGAGAUGGUGAUAGCUUGAGUGAUGGAGCAACAGUCUGGAUGGGUAAAGCUAGAGGGGAAAGAACAGUUGAAGUAGGGGCUGCUAUUUUGUGGUCCUCCAACAUCUUCUGCACCAUCACUUGUUUUGGAUGCUGUCACUGGUCUACCUGCAAUGCUCGGAGUGCUUGCCAGUUACCCUUCUAUGUUGAUCCAACCUGACCUCAGCUCCUCACCAUCACCAUAGACUAAACACCAGCUACUUGAGAUGCAAACCACAGAAACAGCAGGGAGAGCUGGAGACACUUUUCAGGGCCGUUUUGACUUGUUUGAAAAGUCACUCCCCGUGAGAGUAUGUGGCUGAGGUGGCAGAUUUGCAGUGACUUGCCUCCAUGACAUCAGGAGCAUCAGUGCAGCACAGGGUGCAAUUCAUUGUUGGGGAUGGGUAGGGACCCAUACCAAGGGCUUAAUCCUGCUAAAAGCUCGACUCCUGGUGCAACUGAUGGGAGUUGAGAGCCAGGCUGGAUUAAAAUGAGCCUGACUAGUUCGUGUCUGGGUAGGGGUGACAGGGACAUAGUUUUCUGAAGAUGUCACAUUUCAGCUAUUCUGACAUGUUAGUAUUGGAACAGCAGGAGAAAAUAAGUGGUUACUCCAAAGUUGUUAUUAAAGCACUUAAAAGAGGAACAGUUCUGAAGAGUCAGUUACGCAGUUUUAUUUUUCCAGUGAUUAGUACUGCUUAUAAGACUGAGGAAGACAGAAAAGGAAGAAAAUACCCUGUUUUUAAUGACCUCUUUAAAUCAUCCAAAGUGUUUGCACUAACAUCUGUCAUAUGCAUAAUGCUGAAGUAUGCGUGAAAAGACCCUGUUUUUUUCCUCAAAGUUCAUCAAACUCCACCCUGCAAUGGAAUUACUUAUAUUUUUUU
Cygnus olor (mute swan) is the source of this 3774-nucleotide long non-coding RNA. RefSeq lists it as uncharacterized. Lineage: Eukaryota; Metazoa; Chordata; Aves; Anseriformes; Anatidae. The transcript is spliced from 2 exons. The record is from RefSeq and is a predicted model, not a curated record.